Homo sapiens (human) is the source of this 1516-nucleotide long non-coding RNA. Ensembl annotates it as survival associated mitochondrial melanoma specific oncogenic non-coding RNA. Its record names the gene SAMMSON. Lineage: Eukaryota; Metazoa; Chordata; Mammalia; Primates; Hominidae. The record is from Ensembl.
GGCGCCCGCCACCACGCCCGGUGGUUUUGUGUUUUUAGUAGAGACGGGGUUUCACCGUUUUAGCCAGGAUGGUCUCGAUCUCCUGACCUCGUGAUCUGCCUGCCUCGGCCUCCCAAAGUGCUGGGAUUACAGGCGUGAGCUACCGCGCCCAGCUGGCACCAGGUUGGGAACAUGACCUAAUGGUGUGCUACCAUGCAGCUCUUUCCAGCUCCAUGUUCAGUGACUUCAUAUUGGUUUCCACUUUUGCAUCUUGCUCACCUUCUCUUGCCACCACCAUGUAAGAAGUGCCUUUUGCCUCCUGCCAUGUUUCUGAGGCCUCACCAGCCAUGUGGAACUCAUGCUUCCUAGAUUAAAUCUAAGACACUUACCAUGAGGUGGAGGUCCAGAAUGCUUCAGGGCCAGCACUCCAGAGAUGGAAUUAUCUCCAACAGCCACACCAAGAGCACUGAAGCCCCUUUGUGACCUGUUGACAGACACCAUGUUUUGCAUAAUAUAUAUAUUUUCAUUUUCCCUUAGCUUUCUUAUUAUUUAUUCAAUAAAUCCUUUUUUCUUGCUGACAGCAGUUGUAUUUAUAAAGCUAAACCCAACACAGCAAAAUGUUCAUCACUUUAUAAACUAAAUGCUAAUGUUUUAUUUAUGUGCAAUGAAGAAAGAAAAAAAGAACUGAAUUGAUGUUUACCUUACAAGCAGCACAAAAGUGCAGUACCAUAAUAGUGGAGUUCAUAAGCAUUCUGGCUUGUAAUUUUGGGUGUCAACAUUUGAAUUGCAGAAAGAGUUUAUGCAGACAUAGCACGUACACAAGUGCAGUUUAGAUCCACAUCUAUAAAAAUAACAUCUGUUUAAGCAUACAUUACAUUUAAAAAUAACUGUACAGUGAUCAGCUGGUUAAGUACAGUUAACCAGAUGUCGUUUUAAAGGGCCAGAUGGAACUAUGAAACUAAGAUUGAAAAAUUAAAAAAUACUGUGAAAGGUCAAACCAAUUAAGCAACCUGUUUUGUUGGCAUGUAACAGUUAAAAAGUAAGUUAAACUACUUAAGGAGUGAGCAAUAUGAAGAUGUAGCAGUUAAAACCAGGUCUUGCUCCUCUGAGGACAAAGAGAAAAAUCCAGGCUAGAGUUGCUCACUUACUGGAACUCAGGCCAACAUCAGAAAUGUGAAUUUUCCUGUGGUUAUCAGAGGCUGGGGAGUGGGAGGUUUGGGGAGCUGUUGGCCCAAAAAUAGAAAAUUUCAGUUAGACAGGAGGAAUAAGUCCAAGAGAUCUAUCGCACAACAUGAUGAUUAUAGUUAAUAAAAAUGUAUUGUAUACUUGAAAAUUACUAAGAGAGUGGAUUUUAAAUGUUUUCUCCACAAAAAAAAAAAGAUAAGUAUGUAAGGUAAUACAUAUGCUUGAUUUAGCCAUUCCACAAUGCAGUAUUUCAAAACAUCAUGUUGUAUACCAUAAAUACAAACAAUUUUUAUUUGCCAGUUAAAAAAUUAUUUUUUAAAAAAAUUGAAAAAUAAAUGUGAAUUUCUGUUGA